This 765-nucleotide ribosomal RNA is filed under the name uncultured Bacilli bacterium. RNAcentral describes it as "bacterial SSU rRNA". It matches the Rfam family "Bacterial small subunit ribosomal RNA", at positions 29 to 776 of the family's 1533-position model. The record is from RNAcentral. Lineage: Bacteria; Bacillati; Bacillota; Bacilli.
ACGAACGCUGGCGGCGUGCCUAAUACAUGCAAGUCGAGCGGACCGACGGGAGCUUGCUCCCUUAGGUCAGCGGCGGACGGGUGAGUAACACGUGGGUAACCUGCCUGUAAGACUGGGAUAACUCCGGGAAACCGGGGCUAAUACCGGAUGCUUGAUUGAGCCGCAUGGUUCAAUUAUAAAAGGUGGCUUUCAGCUACCACUUACAGAUGGACCCGCGGCGCAUUAGCUAGUUGGUGAGGUAACGGCUCACCAAGGCGACGAUGCGUAGCCGACCUGAGAGGGUGAUCGGCCACACUGGGACUGAGACACGGCCCAGACUCCUACGGGAGGCAGCAGUAGGGAAUCUUCCGCAAUGGACGAAAGUCUGACGGAGCAACGCCGCGUGAGUGAUGAAGGUUUUCGGAUCGUAAAACUCUGUUGUUAGGGAAGAACAAGUACCGUUCGAAUAGGGCGGCACCUUGACGGUACCUAACCAGAAAGCCACGGCUAACUACGUGCCAGCAGCCGCGGUAAUACGUAGGUGGCAAGCGUUGUCCGGAAUUAUUGGGCGUAAAGCGCGCGCAGGCGGUUUCUUAAGUCUGAUGUGAAAGCCCCCGGCUCAACCGGGGAGGGUCAUUGGAAACUGGGGAACUUGAGUGCAGAAGAGGAGAGUGGAAUUCCACGUGUAGCGGUGAAAUGCGUAGAGAUGUGGAGGAACACCAGUGGCGAAGGCGACUCUCUGGUCUGUAACUGACGCUGAGGCGCGAAAGCGUGGGAGCGAACAGG